This is a long non-coding RNA of Spinacia oleracea (spinach), 990 nucleotides long. RefSeq lists it as uncharacterized. NCBI's taxonomy places the organism in Eukaryota, Viridiplantae, Streptophyta, Magnoliopsida, Caryophyllales, Amaranthaceae. The record is from RefSeq and is a predicted model, not a curated record. The transcript has 7 exons.
CUAAUUAACCCAAAAUAUUUUAACCUCAGAAAACCCUCUUCAAUCUCUCUCUCUUCCCCUCCACACCCAGCACGCAUUUGGGAAAACCAAAACCCUAAAUUACAUUUCUUAAUUUGUUCGAAUUCGAUCUUCAAAUUUCGUUGAUUUUACCAGUAAAUUUAAGAGUUGAGGAAACCCUUCAAAUUUCUCCUAGAUCGGAAAAAUUUCUCAGUUUUUGAAGUGUGGGAAAAAUGUCGGAGUGUUGUUGUUGGAGAUCCGGUUUACAUCCCCACCGUCCUUGAGUACCUAGCUUGUUUCGAUCUGAGGCGUCUGAUCUGGUUCUAGAUUUUGAUGAAGGAAGCUCAAAAGGCGGAUACAAGGGGUGUGUGUUAUUUGAGCAGGAUCCCCUUAAAGUAUCUACUGAUAGGUGCCUUGUGGUUACUUGUCAUUACUUUCAAGGACUGAGGAAACGAAAGUAGCUGGUGCAGAUUAAUGUGGCACUUUCAAGACUGAGAUUCCAACUCUAGCUAAUUAGCAGCUGGUGUUGCUGCUAGUGUUUCAGUUGGUGUUGCUGCUGGUGCUGGUCUAGCUGUGUUUUGUGCUGGCAGGUCUAUGCUACUGAGGUUGGCACAGUUCUUCUCAGUUGUGCGUUCUUUUAUGAUAUAUUUUGGGUCUUUGCUUCCAAAUGGUUCUUCCAUGAGAGUGUUAUGAUCAUGUACUUUCCUCAAGUUCCUGCCACUUAUUCUCAAGCGGUGAUUGACGAGACACGGGAUACUUUGGUUACAUAUUUUUCAAGCAAAAACAAGUUUUCAAUGAUCAGAUUGGUGAAGAUGAAGAAAAUGAUAUUUUGGACGUUGAUCAUGAAUGAUCUUUGUAGCUAGUGCAUAUUGACACUUUCUAACAAAUGUUUUGCGAAUCUCAUAGCAAGUUAAUACAUUUGAAGUAUUCUUUUGGAUUUAAGCUUGUGAUUGGAGUUUGGAGAAUGUUAUAUAUUACAGUAGUUUUAUUUAA